UGGCUUGUUCUUUGACUCCAUGUUGUGUUUAGAUGUCAGAUGGUGAUGUUAAUUUCAAUGUUACGCUGUGGUGCAUGUGUUAAUUGGAAGGAUUUGGCCAGCAGCGAAGCGACUCGAUGAUGGGGACUGAGUUGUUUUCGUUGCAGACCCUCUGUCUGCCCCGUUACAAGACGACCGGCAAAGAUGAGUUUGCCUUGCUUCCCGGGCACAGCAAGGUCGUCGAAAGGUACCUUGUUUUUUUCUGUAAUAUACACGGUGAUGAUAAUUUCAGUAUUGUACUGUUGUGCCGUGUGAAUUGUGAGGUGUUGUGCUGGGA
Long non-coding RNA from Lolium rigidum, 316 nucleotides. RefSeq lists it as uncharacterized. The transcript is spliced from 3 exons. The record is from RefSeq and is a predicted model, not a curated record. NCBI's taxonomy places the organism in Eukaryota, Viridiplantae, Streptophyta, Magnoliopsida, Poales, Poaceae.